Molecule: transfer-messenger RNA, 347 nt
Filed under: Salmonella enterica
Lineage: Bacteria; Pseudomonadati; Pseudomonadota; Gammaproteobacteria; Enterobacterales; Enterobacteriaceae
Also listed under: 11 other names
Description: partial transfer-messenger RNA
Rfam family: transfer-messenger RNA
About the family: Bacterial tmRNA, also known as 10Sa RNA or SsrA, is named for its dual tRNA and mRNA-like properties.
Source: RNAcentral
GGGGCUGAUUCUGGAUUCGACGGGAUUUGCGAAACCCAAGGUGCAUGCCGAGGGGCGGUUGGCCUCGUAAAAAGCCGCAAAAAAAUAGUCGCAAACGACGAAAACUACGCUUUAGCAGCUUAAUAACCUGCUUAGAGCCCUCUCUCCCUAGCCUCCGCUCUUAGGACGGGGAUCAAGAGAGGUCAAACCCAAAAGAGAUCGCGCGGAUGCCCUGCCUGGGGUUGAAGCGUUAAAACGAAUCAGGCUAGUCUGGUAGUGGCGUGUCCGUCCGCAGGUGCCAGGCGAAUGUAAAGACUGACUAAGCAUGUAGUACCGAGGAUGUAGGAAUUUCGGACGCGGGUUCAACU